CAGCAGCCACGGGAACACGGAGGGGGCUAGCGUUGUUCGGAAUUACUGGGCGUAAAGCGCGCGUAGGCGGCUUUGUAAGUCAGAGGUGAAAGCCUGGAGCUCAACUCCAGAAUUGCCUUUGAGACUGCAUCGCUUGAACGUCGGAGAGGUGAGUGGAAUUCCGAGUGUAGAGGUGAAAUUCGUAGAUAUUCGGAAGAACACCAGUGGCGAAGGCGGCUCACUGGACGACUGUUGACGCUGAGGUGCGAAAGCGUGGGGAGCAAACAGGAUUAGAUACCCCUGUAGUCCCUGUCUCUUAUAC
RNAcentral lists this ribosomal RNA (301 nucleotides) under uncultured bacterium. RNAcentral's name for it is "partial 16S ribosomal RNA". It matches the Rfam family "Bacterial small subunit ribosomal RNA", at positions 509 to 807 of the family's 1533-position model. The record is from RNAcentral.